Molecule: ribosomal RNA, 1000 nt
Filed under: Vibrio alginolyticus
Lineage: Bacteria; Pseudomonadati; Pseudomonadota; Gammaproteobacteria; Vibrionales; Vibrionaceae
Description: bacterial SSU rRNA
Rfam family: Bacterial small subunit ribosomal RNA
Source: RNAcentral
ACAGAAGGAAGGCACCGGGCUAACUCCGUGCCAGCAGCCGCGGUAAUACGGAGGGGUGCGGAGCGUUAAUCGGAAUUACUGGGCGUAAAGCGCAUGCAGGUGGUGUGUUAAGUCAGAUGUGAAAGCCCGGGGCUCAACCUCGGAAUAGCAUUUGAAACUGGCAGACUAGAGUACUGUAGAGGGGGGUAGAAUUUCAGGUGUAGCGGUGAAAUGCGUAGAGAUCUGAAGGAAUACCGGUGGCGAAGGCGGCCCCCUGGACAGAUACUGACACUCAGAUGCGAAAGCGUGGGGAGCAAACAGGAUUAGAUACCCUGGUAGUCCACGCCGUAAACGAUGUCUACUUGGAGGUUGUGGCCUUGAGCCGUGGCUUUCGGAGCUAACGCGUUAAGUAGACCGCCUGGGGAGUACGGUCGCAAGAUUAAAACUCAAAUGAAUUGACGGGGGCCCGCACAAGCGGUGGAGCAUGUGGUUUAAUUCGAUGCAACGCGAAGAACCUUACCUACUCUUGACAUCCAGAGAACUUUCCAGAGAUGGAUUGGUGCCUUCGGGAACUCUGAGACAGGUGCUGCAUGGCUGUCGUCAGCUCGUGUUGUGAAAUGUUGGGUUAAGUCCCGCAACGAGCGCAACCCUUAUCCUUGUUUGCCAGCGAGUAAUGUCGGGAACUCCAGGGAGACUGCCGGUGAUAAACCGGAGGAAGGUGGGGACGACGUCAAGUCAUCAUGGCCCUUACGAGUAGGGCUACACACGUGCUACAAUGGCGCAUACAGAGGGCGGCCAACUUGCGAAAGUGAGCGAAUCCCAAAAAGUGCGUCGUAGUCCGGAUUGGAGUCUGCAACUCGACUCCAUGAAGUCGGAAUCGCUAGUAAUCGUGGAUCAGAAUGCCACGGUGAAUACGUUCCCGGGCCUUGUACACACCGCCCGUCACACCAUGGGAGUGGGCUGCAAAAGAAGUAGGUAGUUUAACCUUCGGGAGGACGCUCACCACUUGUGUUCAGGCGGG